Long non-coding RNA from Eupeodes corollae, 526 nucleotides. RefSeq lists it as uncharacterized. The transcript is spliced from 2 exons. NCBI's taxonomy places the organism in Eukaryota, Metazoa, Arthropoda, Insecta, Diptera, Syrphidae. The record is from RefSeq and is a predicted model, not a curated record.
UAAAACAAAAACUAAAUUUAUUAGAAUCUAUAAUAAAAUAAACAAAACAGUUUUUAGAAUUAUAUGAAAUAUUAAGGUAAUAAAUUAAACUUGGAAUUCAAACACGCAAUUUUUAAACGUGACGUCAAUUGAAGAUAAUAAAAUAAUGAGAAAUUAAAUGCAAAUUCUGUUUUCAACAUAAAUUAGUUCCCAAAAUAGUUAAAUUCAAAACAUCUUCGCUUUAAACGAAGACAUUCAAAAGCAAUUAAAAAGGUCCACCCUCUAAUAAUAAAGUCUCUCUAGCCUUUACUGAUUUUUGAAUUAGUGUUUAAGAAAAAACCACAUGGCUACAGACGUUUGAUCUUUUUCAAACAAUUUGUUCAGAUGGACUCUCUGGCUGAUUGCGUGUUCUUGCCGCACUACCACGUCGCCAUGGGGCAUCCUCAUCAAUGGCCGUUUCUGAAUUAACUUUUUCUGGCAUAAGUUUUGGUUUAUCAUCUAAGAAAAUGAAAAAAGUUAUAUAAUAUUAUAAAAAUUACAUACAACA